GACGUAGGGCGCGAGCGUUGUCCGGAUUUAUUGGGCGUAAAGAGCUCGUAGGCGGCUUGUCGCGUCGACUGUGAAAACCCGUGGCUCAACCAUGUGGUCUGCAGUCGAUACGGGCAGGCUAGAAUUCGGUAGGGGAGACUGGAAUUCCUGGUGUAGCGGUGAAAUGCGCAGAUAUCAGGAGGAACACCGGUGGCGAAGGCGGGUCUCUGGGCCGAUAUUGACGCUGAGGAGCGAAAGCGUGGGGAGCGAACGGG
RNAcentral lists this ribosomal RNA (254 nucleotides) under uncultured bacterium. RNAcentral describes it as "partial 16S ribosomal RNA". It matches the Rfam family "Bacterial small subunit ribosomal RNA", at positions 524 to 776 of the family's 1533-position model. The record is from RNAcentral.